GAUGAAGAACGUAGCGAAAUGCGAUACGUAAUGUGAAUUGCAAAUUCAGUGAAUCAUCGAGUCUUUGAACGCACAUUGCGCCCCCUGGUAUUCCGGGGGGCAUGCCUGUCCGAGCGUCAUUGCUGCCCUCAAGCACGGCUUGUGUGUUGGGCCCCGUCCUCCGAUCCCGGGGGACGGGCCCGAAAGGCAGCGGCGGCACCGCGUCCGGUCCUCGAGCGUAUGGGGCUUUGUCACCCGCUCUGUAGGCCCGGCCGGCGCUUGCCGAUCAACCCAAAUUUUUUACCCAGGUUGACCUCGGAUCAGGUAGGGAUACCCGCUGAACUUAAGCAUAUCAUAAGCGGAGGA
This 345-nucleotide unclassified non-coding RNA is filed under the name soil metagenome. Its description in RNAcentral is "partial contains 5.8S ribosomal RNA, internal transcribed spacer 2, and large subunit ribosomal RNA". The stretch from base 1 to 119 matches the Rfam family "5.8S ribosomal RNA", at positions 35 to 154 of the family's 154-position model. The record is from RNAcentral.